RNAcentral lists this ribosomal RNA (760 nucleotides) under Gambierdiscus australes. Its description in RNAcentral is "partial large subunit ribosomal RNA". It matches the Rfam family "Eukaryotic large subunit ribosomal RNA", at positions 86 to 811 of the family's 3401-position model. The record is from RNAcentral. Lineage: Eukaryota; Dinophyceae; Gonyaulacales; Pyrocystaceae.
GUUGCGAAUGAACAGCAAAUUGCUCAAAUUGAAUUUGGGGACACCUGGCCCUCAACAUGAAAUCUCUGAAUGCUCCACCAACAAAGGCUCAGGAACAAAACCAUUCUGGAGGGGAUUGUGAAAGUGCCAACAGGGGUGAGAAUCCUGUGGUUCUUGCAGACCUUGUUCACGGUGUCUGCUUUCCAGAGUCAUGCUCCUUGGAACUGGAGUGCAAAGUGGGUGGUAGCUUCCACACAAAGGCAAACACACCACUGAGACUGACAGUGAAGAAGUACCGUGAGGGAAGUAUGAAAAGGACUUUGGAAAGAGAUUUAAAAGAGCGUGCACUUGCUGGACAACAAGCAUACAGAAUGAUCGUGUGAUUGGACAGAUUGCUGUGUGAAUACAGGUAACAAUCCUGUGCUGCAUGCGGAGAUUCUUUCUUGGUGUGCCAACUAGUGUGAGAGCAGUCAGUAUCUGUGGGCAGUGCUUGGGGUGUGUCUUGUGUCACAUGUGAUUGUAUGUACCUGGUCUGAACAUGUGAAACUGCAUCUACUGGCAAUGAAGAGUUAUGCAUGCAGUUGCUUUCACCAACGGUUCACCUUGUCAACGACAUGGGUGCCUUUCUGUGUGACCCGUCUUGAAACACGGACCAAGGAGUCUAGGCAGUAUGCAAGCUUGGGGGUGACAAACUCUGAGCACAAUGAAGCUGGAGUCCCGGAAAUGGCAGGGGUGUUCAACCAAGCAACAGGACAAGGUUUGAGUCUGAGCACACUUGUUA